Molecule: ribosomal RNA, 494 nt
Filed under: uncultured bacterium
Lineage: Bacteria
Description: partial 16S ribosomal RNA
Rfam family: Bacterial small subunit ribosomal RNA
Source: RNAcentral
GACGAACGCUGGCGGCGUGCUUAACACAUGCAAGUCGAACGGAAAGGCCUGCUUUCCCUUGUGGCUUGCGGAUACUCGAGUGGCGAACGGGUGAGUAACACGUGAGUGAUCUGCCCCCAACUUGGGUAUAAGCCUGGGAAACUGGGUCUAAUUCCCGAUAGGACUGCAGGGUGGUGCCUGUGGUGGAAAACGAUUUUCUAGUGGUUGGGGAUGAGCUCGCGGCCUAUCAGCUUGUUGGUGGGGUAAUGGCCUACCAAGGCGGCGACGGGUAGCCGGCCUGAGAGGGUGGACGGCCACAUUGGGACUGAGAUACGGCCCAGACUCCUACGGGAGGCAGCAGUGGGGAAUAUUGCACAAUGGGCGGAAGCCUGAUGCAGCGACGCCGCGUGGGGGAUGACGGCCUUCGGGUUGUAAACUCCUUUCGACCGCGAGGAAGCCACCUGGUUGGAAGGGUGGUGACGGUAGUGGUAGAAGAAGCACCGGCUAACUACGUG